Molecule: non-coding RNA, 29 nt
Filed under: Homo sapiens (human)
Lineage: Eukaryota; Metazoa; Chordata; Mammalia; Primates; Hominidae
Source: RNAcentral
UCCGAUGAAGAUGAGCAAGACUUGGUCAG